Carya illinoinensis is the source of this 1118-nucleotide long non-coding RNA. RefSeq lists it as uncharacterized. The transcript has 2 exons. NCBI's taxonomy places the organism in Eukaryota, Viridiplantae, Streptophyta, Magnoliopsida, Fagales, Juglandaceae. The record is from RefSeq and is a predicted model, not a curated record.
ACUCUCUUUUUGUCUCUCUAUUUUUUCUUUUUCUUCCCCCACCCUACCUUUCCAUUAGCCUUUUUCUUGCUCUUAUUCUCUCUUAUUUUCUUUUUCUUUUUACUUCCUUGAAUCCUUCCCUUCCCAUCGGUUCUUCCCCCUUGAUUAUUUUUUCUCUCUCUCUCUCUCUCUCUCUCUCUCUCAAGAAAUAAAUCUCAUAAUUGCUCUCUCCCAGCCAGCUUAUCUCUACCGCCAUUGUGCCGCCGUAACCAUGCCACGACCACACCUUGUCUCAGCACUUGUCACCUUUUGUCGUCAUCGAGCUCUUUCUUCUUCCUGAUCGAUUCAUGGCCUCUCCCAACGGCUCCCUUCGCACGGCUUUGCAACCUUUUGCCGCUAACCACUUAUUGUUGCUGUAGUUGAAGCUUGCACCUUGUUCACUAGCCACGUCGUAUGUAGCCGCCACCGCUUCGUAGAAAUUCGGACAUGUUGGGUGUGGGGCAUCCUACAAAGGUGCAAAACUGUGAUGAGAGGAAGGAAAAUCACUUACCAAGAGCCUAGGAGCAGAGGAAGACGAUGUAGUUUGACAGAGCAGAAGAUGAAAUUUAUAGAGUAGAAAUGUGAUUUUGACAAAAUACGAAGACGGUAGAUUUGAUUGAUCUUCCAGAAAGUGAGUGAAGCGGCAAGGGAAAUUAGACAAAAUACCAAGGCGGUGGGAGUGUUUUAUCUGAGAAGAAGACACUGGAAAGCGGUGGAUUUAUGUUCCAGAAAUUGAAGAAGGUGGUAGAUUGUUUCCAGAAGUUACCAGAUUUAUAAAAACUCACUGAGCAGUGGAUUUAUCUUCCAAAAGGCGGUGGGAAUUUCCUUAAUAAAUAGGCACAAAAUUAGAAAGAAAUGAGUAAAAAGACAUGGGAGAUGGAAUGCGUGGUGCAGAUAAACUUUCAAACCAAGCGGCCAGAAGAUAAGGCCAUCCAAAACAAAUCUUUUGUUAGAUGUAGACACUUAUCAAACCCAGUUGUGUUUCUGAAACCAUUUGACGAUAAUUUUUUUUUUUUGUAUAAUUUGGAAUCCUGUCAUCACAUUUUCUUUUGUUAACUAUACACGUAUAUUACAAUAUGGAUAGAUUUGUUUUCAUUUCA